RNAcentral lists this ribosomal RNA (137 nucleotides) under uncultured eukaryote. RNAcentral describes it as "partial 18S ribosomal RNA". It matches the Rfam family "Eukaryotic small subunit ribosomal RNA", at positions 1299 to 1458 of the family's 1831-position model. The record is from RNAcentral.
UGGUGGAGUGAUUUGUCUGGUUAAUUCCGAUAACGAACGAGACCUUAACCUGCUAACUAGUCUUACUCAUUUCAUGGGUAUUGACUUCUUAGAGGGACUAUGUGAUUAUAAGCACAUGGAAGUUUGAGGCAAUAACA